RNAcentral lists this ribosomal RNA (721 nucleotides) under uncultured prokaryote. RNAcentral describes it as "bacterial SSU rRNA". It matches the Rfam family "Archaeal small subunit ribosomal RNA", at positions 44 to 771 of the family's 1478-position model. The record is from RNAcentral.
CUUAGCCAUGCGAGUCUUUGUAGUAAUACAAGGCAUACGGCUCAGUAACACGUAGUCAACCUACCCUAUGGACGAGAAUAAUCUCGGGAAACUGAGCAUAAUUCUCGAUAGAUCAUAAUGCCUGGAAUGGUUUAUGGUUAAAAUGAUUCGUCGCCAUAGGAUGGGACUGCGGCCUAUCAGCUUGUUGGUGAGGUAAUGGCCCACCAAGGCGAUUACAGGUACGGGCUCUGAGAGGAGAAGCCCGGAGAUGGGUACUGAGACAAGGACCCAGGCCCUAUGGGGCGCAGCAGGCGAGAAAACUUUGCAAUGUGCGAAAGCACGACAAGGUUAAUCCGAGUGAUUUCUGCUAAAGGAAUCUUUUGCCAGUCGUAAAACCACUGGUGAAUAAGGGGUGGGCAAGUUCUGGUGUCAGCCGCCGCGGUAAAACCAGCACCUCAAGUGGUCAGGAUGAUUAUUGGGCCUAAAGCAUCCGUAGCCGGCUUUGUUAGUUUUCGGUUAAAUCCAUGUGCUCAACGCAUGGGCUGCCGAAAAUACUGCAUAGCUAGGGAGUGGGAGAGGUAGACGGUACUCAGUAGGUAGGGGUAAAAUCCUUUGAUCUAUUGAUGACCACCUGUGGCGAAGGCGGUCUACCAGAACACGUUCGACGGUGAGGGAUGAAAGCUGGGGGAGCAAACCGGAUUAGAUACCCGGGUAGUCCCAGCUGUAAACGAUGCAGACUAGA